RNAcentral lists this ribosomal RNA (1554 nucleotides) under Staphylococcus aureus. RNAcentral describes it as "16S ribosomal RNA". It matches the Rfam family "Bacterial small subunit ribosomal RNA". The record is from RNAcentral. Lineage: Bacteria; Bacillati; Bacillota; Bacilli; Caryophanales; Staphylococcaceae.
UUUAUGGAGAGUUUGAUCCUGGCUCAGGAUGAACGCUGGCGGCGUGCCUAAUACAUGCAAGUCGAGCGAACGGACGAGAAGCUUGCUUCUCUGAUGUUAGCGGCGGACGGGUGAGUAACACGUGGAUAACCUACCUAUAAGACUGGGAUAACUUCGGGAAACCGGAGCUAAUACCGGAUAAUAUUUUGAACCGCAUGGUUCAAAAGUGAAAGACGGUCUUGCUGUCACUUAUAGAUGGAUCCGCGCUGCAUUAGCUAGUUGGUAAGGUAACGGCUUACCAAGGCAACGAUGCAUAGCCGACCUGAGAGGGUGAUCGGCCACACUGGAACUGAGACACGGUCCAGACUCCUACGGGAGGCAGCAGUAGGGAAUCUUCCGCAAUGGGCGAAAGCCUGACGGAGCAACGCCGCGUGAGUGAUGAAGGUCUUCGGAUCGUAAAACUCUGUUAUUAGGGAAGAACAUAUGUGCAAGUAACUGUGCACAUCUUGACGGUACCUAAUCAGAAAGCCACGGCUAACUACGUGCCAGCAGCCGCGGUAAUACGUAGGUGGCAAGCGUUAUCCGGAAUUAUUGGGCGUAAAGCGCGCGUAGGCGGUUUUUUAAGUCUGAUGUGAAAGCCCACGGCUCAACCGUGGAGGGUCAUUGGAAACUGGAAAACUUGAGUGCAGAAGAGGAAAGUGGAAUUCCAUGUGUAGCGGUGAAAUGCGCAGAGAUAUGGAGGAACACCAGUGGCGAAGGCGACUUUCUGGUCUGUAACUGACGCUGAUGUGCGAAAGCGUGGGGAUCAAACAGGAUUAGAUACCCUGGUAGUCCACGCCGUAAACGAUGAGUGCUAAGUGUUAGGGGGUUUCCGCCCCUUAGUGCUGCAGCUAACGCAUUAAGCACUCCGCCUGGGGAGUACGACCGCAAGGUUGAAACUCAAAGGAAUUGACGGGGACCCGCACAAGCGGUGGAGCAUGUGGUUUAAUUCGAAGCAACGCGAAGAACCUUACCAAAUCUUGACAUCCUUUGACAACUCUAGAGAUAGAGCCUUCCCCUUCGGGGGACAAAGUGACAGGUGGUGCAUGGUUGUCGUCAGCUCGUGUCGUGAGAUGUUGGGUUAAGUCCCGCAACGAGCGCAACCCUUAAGCUUAGUUGCCAUCAUUAAGUUGGGCACUCUAAGUUGACUGCCGGUGACAAACCGGAGGAAGGUGGGGAUGACGUCAAAUCAUCAUGCCCCUUAUGAUUUGGGCUACACACGUGCUACAAUGGACAAUACAAAGGGCAGCGAAACCGCGAGGUCAAGCAAAUCCCAUAAAGUUGUUCUCAGUUCGGAUUGUAGUCUGCAACUCGACUACAUGAAGCUGGAAUCGCUAGUAAUCGUAGAUCAGCAUGCUACGGUGAAUACGUUCCCGGGUCUUGUACACACCGCCCGUCACACCACGAGAGUUUGUAACACCCGAAGCCGGUGGAGUAACCUUUUAGGAGCUAGCCGUCGAAGGUGGGACAAAUGAUUGGGGUGAAGUCGUAACAAGGUAGCCGUAUCGGAAGGUGCGGCUGGAUCACCUCCUUUCU